GACGAACGCUGGCGGCGUGCUUAACACAUGCAAGUCGAACGGAAAGGCCCUGCUUGCAGGGUACUCGAGUGGCGAACGGGUGAGUAACACGUGGGUGAUCUGCCCUGCACUUCGGGAUAAGCUUGGGAAACUGGGUCUAAUACCGGAUACGAACCAUCUUUAGUGUGGUGGUUGGAAAGUUUUUUCGGUGUAGGAUGAGCUCGCGGCCUAUCAGCUUGUUGGUGGGGUAAUGGCCUACCAAGGCGGCGACGGGUAGCCGGCCUGAGAGGGUGUACGGCCACAUUGGGACUGAGAUACGGCCCAGACUCCUACGGGAGGCAGCAGUGGGGAAUAUUGCACAAUGGGCGCAAGCCUGAUGCAGCGACGCCGCGUGGGGGAUGAAGGCCUUCGGGUUGUAAACUCCUUUCGCUAGGGACGAAGCUUUGUUGUGACGGUACCUAGAUAAGAAGCACCGGCUAACUACGUG
This 466-nucleotide ribosomal RNA is filed under the name uncultured bacterium. RNAcentral describes it as "partial 16S ribosomal RNA". It matches the Rfam family "Bacterial small subunit ribosomal RNA", at positions 28 to 507 of the family's 1533-position model. The record is from RNAcentral.